Molecule: long non-coding RNA, 2188 nt
Filed under: Olea europaea subsp. europaea
Lineage: Eukaryota; Viridiplantae; Streptophyta; Magnoliopsida; Lamiales; Oleaceae
Source: RNAcentral
AAAAAAUUUUGCUAAUCUGUCUUGUAUUCUCCAUACUGUUGAAUUAAUAAACAUCGUUCCUCUGCGUUUACCCUUUGUGUUCUUUUUUUACAAAUUCAAUCUUGUGUUUUCGUGGUGUGAUCUAGUAUACUUCAAAAUUGUUAUUAAAUCUCGUUCUUUAUAAUCCGAUUUGAAAUCAACGCGUGUUAUUGGAGUUUCCGCGCACAACAAGAGGUAUCAAAGCGAGGUUGUUGAUUUUCUGUGGUUUAGUUGAGAUUCUUUCGAGAUGGCUGGGUUGAAGUAUGAUGUUCCACUGUUAGAUCGCAAUACAAAGUUUUUGUUGUGGCAAGUAAAGAUGAGGGCUAUUUUGGCGCAAUUGAAUUUGGAUGAUGUAUUGCUAAGUAUUGAGAGGAUGCCAGCUUGUUGGACAACGGAGGAGAAAUAACGUAAGGAUCGGAAGGCUGUUUCAUUGAUUCAUCUUCAUCUAUUCAACAAUAUUCUGCAGGAUGUCUUUAAGGAGAAAACGACGGCUACUUUGUGAUUGAAGUUGGAGUAGUUGUGUAUGACUAAGAGUCUUACAAAUAAAUUGGCUUUCAAGUAGAAGCUGUAUUCACAUCGCAUGGUAGAAGGAGAGUCGUUGGAAGACCAUACUGUCGUGUUCAAGGAAAUAUUUGCAGAUCUGGAGACGUUGGAGGUUAAGUACAAUGAAGUUGAUCUUGUCUUGAUCCUAUUGUGUUCGCUGCCUGAAUCUUAUGCGUCGUUUCGGGAUACUAUCUUGUAUAGUCGAAACACUUUGACUAUAGAAAAUGUCUAUGAUGCUUUGCACCCAAAGGAGAAAAUGAAUCAUUUGGUUGGAGCUACAUCAAGGGAUGAGAAAGCUCUUGCAUCUCAAGGUGGUCGACAAAGAGGCAGAUCGAGAGUUAGAUUUAGCAAUGUGACCUGUUACUACUACAAAAGGAAGGGACAUAUUUGGAAGGAUUGCGAUAUGUUGCAAGCUAAAAGUAAUUUGGCUGCAAAUCGUGGGGUACAACCUUUGAAUUCAAACGAAACCAAUGUAGUUGAGAAUUGUUCAGUUAGUGAAGAUGUGAUGUUGACCGUGGUAUCUGAUGUGGAAUCUAGGCCUGACGAGGAGUGAAUCUUGAUUCAGCAUAUUCGCACCAUAUGUGCUCCACUAAGAAUUUAUUUCAGAUAUAUGAGGCUGUUCAACAAGAUGGAAUUGUAAUGGGAAAUAACCAAUCUUGUCGUAUUGCAGGGAUCGGUCCAGUCAGAUUGAGGCCGAGGGAUGGAACGUUUAAAACAAUUGAUCAGGUUCGACAUGUUCAUGACCUGAAAAGGAAUCUCAUUUUGUUAAGUACCCUGAAUGCAAAAGGAUAUAAAUUCUCUGGAGGAGGUAGAGUCUUGAAGGUCCAAAAGGGAGUCCGAGUUGUAUUUGAGGGACGGAAAAGAUCAUAGUUGUGCAUUUUGCAAGGAGUGCAGAACCAGUUAAGAUGAGACAUUUGGACAAAUUUAGUACCGUGAUAGAAGUUCAGUUUGGUGCAGUACCUCUUGGGUUGGGCUCUGAGUUGUUCAGAACACUACUGUGGAAAGCGUUGGUGAUCCCGCUUUGCCACCAAUUUCAGCAAGUACACUUUGUUCGGUUGCUGGAGCAGGACUCAUCAAGCGUAGGUGCUAUGGUGUCAACAAUGUCUGGGAUGCUUCUAUGGACGUUGAAGGCGACAGUUCCAAAAAUGGGCCUUCUAAUCAAGCAUCUGGUUUGGUUCUUGCUACAGGGUAGCUUCGCCUCUGUGUGAUCAACAUUAAUUCCUCGGUAGAAUUGUGAACCCUGGGGAUUGGGUUCGGAUGUCGGUUGUAGACGUCGAGCAAAUGACAAGUGUUUGGUUUAUAUGGAGUGGUUACUGUAUUGAGGAGAUUCAGCCAGUUAAUUUCGAUGCAGAUGAAUUUGAAAUUUAGGAGUUUCGUUCGUGGCACCGGAAUUUGAGUCAAGGUAGAGAUUGUUAAGAAUAUCACUCAAAUAGGAGUCUUUUGAAGAGACAUAUUCGACUUAGACUAGGAGAAUAUUAACCUAUGGUUUAAGGAAACUAGGUUGAAUAAAGAAAUAAAAUCCUGUUGAAAUUGAGCCUCCUAAUUGUCCUAUAUUUUCUUUGCCAUUUAAGACUCUUCUAGAGUUGACCAAUAAAUACGAAGCUCAUUUGGUCAGUUUGGAGAGAGA